Molecule: ribosomal RNA, 253 nt
Filed under: uncultured bacterium
Lineage: Bacteria
Description: partial 16S ribosomal RNA
Rfam family: Bacterial small subunit ribosomal RNA
Source: RNAcentral
UACGAAGGGGGCUAGCGUUGCUCGGAAUCACUGGGCGUAAAGCGCACGUAGGCGGAUCUUUAAGUCAGGGGUGAAAUCCUGGAGCUCAACUCCAGAACUGCCUUUGAUACUGGAAAGCUUGAGUUCGGGAGAGGUGAGUGGAACUGCGAGUGUAGAGGUGAAAUUCGUAGAUAUUCGCAAGAACACCAGUGGCGAAGGCGGCUCACUGGCCCGAUACUGACGCUGAGGUGCGAAAGCGUGGGGAGCAAACAGG